UACAGAGGUCCCGAGCGUUGUUCGGAUUCACUGGGCGUAAAGGGUGCGUAGGUGGUGAGGUAAGUCGGAUGUGAAAGCUCCGAGCUCAACUCGGAAAUGGCAUUGGAAACUACCUUGCUAGAGGGUUUGAGGGGGGACUGGAAUACUUGGUGUAGCAGUGAAAUGCGUAGAUAUCAAGUGGAACACCAGUGGCGAAGGCGGGUCUCUGGGCAACAACUGACGCUGAGGAGCGAAAGCGUGGGGAGCGAACAGG
This 253-nucleotide ribosomal RNA is filed under the name uncultured bacterium. RNAcentral's name for it is "partial 16S ribosomal RNA". It matches the Rfam family "Bacterial small subunit ribosomal RNA", at positions 524 to 776 of the family's 1533-position model. The record is from RNAcentral.